UACGUAGGGUGCAAGCGUUGUUCGGAUUUACUGGGCGUAAAGGGCGCGUAGGCGGCAGAUCAAGUCAGCUGUGAAAUCUCCGAGCUUAACUCGGAACUGUCAGCUGAUACUGUUUUGCUAGAGUGCGGAAGGGGCAAUCGGAAUUCUUGGUGUAGCGGUGAAAUGCGUAGAUAUCAAGAGGAACACCUGAGGUGAAGACGGGUUGCUGGGCCGACACUGGCGCUGAGUGCGCGAAAGCCAGGGGAGCAAACGGG
Molecule: ribosomal RNA, 254 nt
Filed under: uncultured bacterium
Lineage: Bacteria
Description: partial 16S ribosomal RNA
Rfam family: Bacterial small subunit ribosomal RNA
Source: RNAcentral